This 493-nucleotide ribosomal RNA is filed under the name uncultured bacterium. RNAcentral describes it as "bacterial SSU rRNA". It matches the Rfam family "Bacterial small subunit ribosomal RNA", at positions 20 to 507 of the family's 1533-position model. The record is from RNAcentral.
UGGCUCAGAUUGAACGCUGGCGGCAGGCCUAACACAUGCAAGUCGAGCGGUAGAGAGGUGCUUGCAUCUCUUGAGAGCGGCGGACGGGUGAGUAAUGCCUAGGAAUCUGCCUAGUGGUGGGGGAUAACGUUCGGAAACGGACGCUAAUACCGCAUACGUCCUACGGGAGAAAGCGGGGGGAUCUUCGGACCUCGCGCCAUUAGAUGAGCCUAGGUCGGAUUAGCUAGUUGGUGAGGUAAUGGCUCACCAAGGCGACGAUCCGUAACUGGUCUGAGAGGAUGAUCAGUCACACUGGAACUGAGACACGGUCCAGACUCCUACGGGAGGCAGCAGUGGGGAAUAUUGGACAAUGGGCGAAAGCCUGAUCCAGCCAUGCCGCGUGUGUGAAGAAGGUCUUCGGAUUGUAAAGCACUUUAAGUUGGGAGGAAGGGUAGUAACCUAAUACGUUGCUACUUUGACGUUACCGACAGAAUAAGCACCGGCUAACUUCGUG